GACGAACGCUGGCGGCGUGCUUAACACAUGCAAGUCGAACGGAAAGGCCCUGCUUUUGUGGGGUGCUCGAGUGGCGAACGGGUGAGUAACACGUGAGUAACCUGCCCUUGACUUUGGGAUAACUUCAGGAAACUGGGGCUAAUACCGGAUAGGAGCUCCUGCUGCAUGGUGGGGGUUGGAAAGUUUCGGCGGUUGGGGAUGGACUCGCGGCUUAUCAGCUUGUUGGUGGGGUAGUGGCUUACCAAGGCUUUGACGGGUAGCCGGCCUGAGAGGGUGACCGGCCACACUGGGACUGAGAUAAGGCCCAGACUCCUACGGGAGGCAGCAGUGGGGAAUAUUGCACAAUGGGCGGAAGCCUGAUGCAGCAACGCCGCGUGCGGGAUGACGGCCUUCGGGUUGUAAACCGCUUUCGCCUGUGACGAAGCGUGAGUGACGGUAAUGGGUAAAGAAGCACCGGCUAACUACGUG
This 468-nucleotide ribosomal RNA is filed under the name uncultured bacterium. RNAcentral describes it as "partial 16S ribosomal RNA". It matches the Rfam family "Bacterial small subunit ribosomal RNA", at positions 28 to 507 of the family's 1533-position model. The record is from RNAcentral.